RNAcentral lists this ribosomal RNA (238 nucleotides) under uncultured anaerobic ammonium-oxidizing bacterium. RNAcentral describes it as "partial 16S ribosomal RNA". It matches the Rfam family "Bacterial small subunit ribosomal RNA", at positions 439 to 668 of the family's 1533-position model. The record is from RNAcentral.
GGAGUUAGGAAAUGCAGGUGCGUUAAUAGCGCACUUGCUUGACUAAGGCUCCAGAGGAAGCCACGGCCAACUCUGUGCCAGCAGCCGCGGUAAUACAGAGGCGGCAAGCGUUGUUCGGAAUUAUUGGGCGUAAAGAGCACGUAGGCGGCCUUGCAAGUCAGUUGUGAAAGCCUUCCGCUUAACGGAAGAACGGCAUCUGAUACUACAGGGCUUGAGUACGGGAGGGGAGAGUGGAACU